Molecule: ribosomal RNA, 936 nt
Filed under: methanogenic prokaryote enrichment culture B19_2
Description: bacterial SSU rRNA
Rfam family: Bacterial small subunit ribosomal RNA
Source: RNAcentral
AGAGUUUGAUCAUGGCUCAGAACAAACGCUGGCGGCGUGCCUAACACAUGCAAGUCGUACGAGAAAGUCCGCUUCGGUGGAUGAGUAAAGUGGCGCACGGGUGAGUAACGCGUGGAUAAUCUACCCUUUAGUCUGGAAUAACUUAUCGAAAGGUGAACUAAUACCGGAUAAUAUCCCGAUUUCUUCGGCGAUCGGGAUCAAAGAAGGCCUCUGCUUGCAAGCUUUCACUGAAGGAUGAGUCCGCGUACCAUUAGCUAGUUGGCAGGGUAAUGGCCUACCAAGGUUAUGAUGGUUAGCUGGUCUGAGAGGAUGAUCAGCCACACUGGAACUGAAACACGGUCCAGACUCCUACGGGAGGCAGCAGUGAGGAAUAUUGCGCAAUGGGGGCAACCCUGACGCAGCAACGCCGCGUGAGUGAGGAAGGUUUUCGGAUUGUAAAGCUCUGUCGAGCGGAAAGAAGUGCAUGGUGGUUAAUAUCCAUCAUGCUUGACGGUACCGCUAAAGGAAGCACCGGCUAACUCCGUGCCAGCAGCCGCGGUAAUACGGGGGGUGCAAGCGUUGUUCGGAAUCAUUGGGCGUAAAGCGCGUGUAGGCGGCUGGACAAGUCAGAUGUGAAAGCCCUGGGCUUAACCCAGGAAGUGCAUUUGAAACUGUUCAGCUAGAGUAAGGGAGAGGAAAGUGGAAUUCCUGGUGUAGAGGUGAAAUUCGUAGAUAUCAGGAGGAACACCGGUGGCGAAGGGCGACUUUCUGGCCUAUACUGACGCUGAGACGCGAAAGCGUGGGUAGCAAACAGGGAUUAGAUACCCUGGUAGUCCACGCUGUAAACGAUGUUCACUAGGUGUUGGGGGUAUUGGACCCUUCCGGUGCCCCAGCUAACGCAUUAAGUGAAACCGCCUGGGGAGUACGAUCGCAGAAUUAAACUCAAAGGAAUGACCG